CGAUGCGUCCUGGUCGGAU
This 19-nucleotide small nuclear RNA is filed under the name Arabidopsis thaliana (thale cress). Its description in RNAcentral is "snRNA_08767". The record is from RNAcentral. Lineage: Eukaryota; Viridiplantae; Streptophyta; Magnoliopsida; Brassicales; Brassicaceae.